AUACGGAGGGUGCGAGCGUUAAUCGGAAUUACUGGGCGUAAAGGGCGCGUAGGCGGUUUUUUAAGUCAGAUGUGAAAGCCCUGGGCUUAACCUGGGAACUGCAUUUGAAACUGGGAGGCUAGAGUUUGGUAGAGGGGAGUGGAAUUUCCGGUGUAGCGGUGAAAUGCGUAGAGAUCGGAAGGAACACCAGUGGCGAAGGCGACUUCCUGGGCCAAUACUGACGCUGAGGUGCGAAAGCGUGGGGAGCAAACAGGAUUAGAAACCCCAGUAGUCC
This 274-nucleotide ribosomal RNA is filed under the name uncultured bacterium. RNAcentral's name for it is "partial 16S ribosomal RNA". It matches the Rfam family "Bacterial small subunit ribosomal RNA", at positions 523 to 796 of the family's 1533-position model. The record is from RNAcentral.